RNAcentral lists this ribosomal RNA (397 nucleotides) under uncultured bacterium. RNAcentral describes it as "partial 16S ribosomal RNA". It matches the Rfam family "Bacterial small subunit ribosomal RNA", at positions 523 to 918 of the family's 1533-position model. The record is from RNAcentral.
AUACGUAGGUGCCAAGCGUUAUCCGGAUUUACUGGGCGUAAAGGGCGUGUAGGCGGUCUUGCAAGUCAGAAGUGAAAUUCCUGAGCUCAACUCGGGCGCUGCUUCUGAAACUGCAGGACUUGAGGGCUGGAGGGGAUAGCGGAAUUCCUAGUGGAGCGGUAAAAUGCGCAGAUAUUAGGAAGAACACCGGUGGCGGAGGCGGCUAUCUGGUCAGUAACUGACGCUGAGGCGCGAAAGCGUGGGGAGCAAACAGGAUUAAAUUCCCUGGUAGUCCACGCCGUAAACGAUGAAUACUAGGUGUAGGGGGUAUCGACUCCCUCUGUGCCGCAGUUAACACAAUAAGGAUUCCGCCUGGGGAGUACGGCCGCAAGGUUGAAACUCAAAUGAAUUGACGGGG